Molecule: non-coding RNA, 346 nt
Organism: Paramuricea clavata
Lineage: Eukaryota; Metazoa; Cnidaria; Anthozoa; Malacalcyonacea; Plexauridae
Source: the annotation of a GenBank genome assembly
UUUAAAUAUUUGGCUUUAAAUAUUGGUCUUUAAAUACAUGGAUUUGAAAUGUUGGACUUAAAUAUUGGACUUUAAGUAUUGGAAUAUGAAUUUGUACCUCAAAGACUCAAACAUGGUCGUUAAACAGGAAUUAAAUGAUGAAUUUGGAGGGUUAUUGGAAAGCAAGGACAUGGUAAAUACAAAAUAUUCCUUCCUGUUAUACUAACGAAAUUGAUCAAAACUUGUGUUUUAAAAUGAAAAGUUAGUAAAUAUUUAUCAAAACAUUGUUUUCUAGUAUAUCGCAGAAGUGAAAGCCUCGCCUGCGAACGGGCUAUCAAGCUGAAAUAUUAAAAAGUAGCCAUACAAG